GCAAACUUGGUCAUUUAGAGGAAGUAAAAGUCGUAACAAGGUUUCCGUAGGUGAACCUGCGGAAGGAUCAUUAGAGGAAAAAAUGUGUCCAAAGACCAAACCUCUCAACCGUGUCUACAUUACCUAUUGUUGCUUCCCAGAAGUAAUUCUGGGGGAUUUCCACUUAAUGGGAAGGUGCGACCCAAGACGCAAGUUUUGGCAGUUGCGACCGAGUACCAACUUGGAAUUCAAAAUUCUGUUAAAAAUUGAAGUCUAAAUGAAUAAUUAUAAUAAUAAUUAAAACUUUCAACAACGGAUCUCUUGGUUCUGGCAUCGAUGAAGAACGCAGC
This 329-nucleotide unclassified non-coding RNA is filed under the name uncultured fungus. RNAcentral's name for it is "partial contains small subunit ribosomal RNA, internal transcribed spacer 1, and 5.8S ribosomal RNA". The stretch from base 1 to 73 matches the Rfam family "Eukaryotic small subunit ribosomal RNA", at positions 1759 to 1831 of the family's 1831-position model. Lineage: Eukaryota; Fungi. The record is from RNAcentral.